This 219-nucleotide long non-coding RNA is filed under the name Rattus norvegicus (Norway rat). Its description in RNAcentral is "long non-coding RNA NONRATT033211". Lineage: Eukaryota; Metazoa; Chordata; Mammalia; Rodentia; Muridae. The record is from RNAcentral.
CUCAUGUGUGAUGGUGUGUUUGCCUCCUUCUCUUUCCUCAGCCUCCUGCUCACACAGAUCAACUUGACCUUUCAUUAGGUCACUUCAUAAUUGAUGGAAAUGUCCCAGGAAUCCACGGUUGCUGAAGAACACUUUGGAAUGUCCCCAGCAUCUUGCAAAGCCCUUCACUUCUGGAAUUUUGGGGACACCGGAACCUUGCCAAGGGAAGCAGUCUUGAAG